Molecule: transfer RNA, 74 nt
Filed under: Candidatus Omnitrophota bacterium
Lineage: Bacteria; Pseudomonadati; Candidatus Omnitrophota
Description: Candidatus Omnitrophica bacterium tRNA-His
Rfam family: tRNA
About the family: Transfer RNA (tRNA) molecules are approximately 80 nucleotides in length.
Source: RNAcentral
GUGGGUGUAGCUCAGCUAGGCAGAGCACUUGGUUGUGGCCCAAGUGGCCGCCGGUUCAAAUCCGGUCACCCACC